This 492-nucleotide ribosomal RNA is filed under the name uncultured bacterium. Its description in RNAcentral is "partial 16S ribosomal RNA". It matches the Rfam family "Bacterial small subunit ribosomal RNA", at positions 29 to 507 of the family's 1533-position model. The record is from RNAcentral.
AGUGAACGCUGGCGGUAGGCCUAACACAUGCAAGUCGAACGGCAGCACAGUAAGAGCUUGCUCUUACGGGUGGCGAGUGGCGGACGGGUGAGGAAUACAUCGGAAUCUACUUUUUCGUGGGGGAUAACGUAGGGAAACUUACGCUAAUACCGCAUACGACCUACGGGUGAAAGCAGGGGAUCUUCGGACCUUGCGCGAUUGAAUGAGCCGAUGUCGGAUUAGCUAGUUGGCGGGGUAAAGGCCCACCAAGGCGACGAUCCGUAGCUGGUCUGAGAGGAUGAUCCGCCAAACUGGAACCUGGAACAGGUCCAGACUCCUAAGGGAAGCAGGCGUGGGGAAUAUUGGACAAUGGGCGCAAGCCUGAUCCAGCCAUACCGCGUGGGUGAAGAAGGCCUUCGGGUUGUAAAGCCCUUUUGUUGGGAAAGAAAAGCAGCAGGUUAAUACCCCGCUGUUCUGACGGUACCCAAAGAAUAAGCACCGGCUAACUUCGUG